Molecule: transfer RNA, 73 nt
Filed under: Planctomycetota bacterium
Lineage: Bacteria; Pseudomonadati; Planctomycetota
Description: Planctomycetes bacterium tRNA-Phe
Rfam family: tRNA
About the family: Transfer RNA (tRNA) molecules are approximately 80 nucleotides in length. Their secondary structure includes four short double-helical elements and three loops (D, anti-codon, and T loops).
Source: RNAcentral
GGAAAGAUAACUCAGUUGGUAGAGUGGUGGGUUGAAGACUCACUCGUCGUUGGUUCAAGCCCAACUCUUUCCA